This 1025-nucleotide long non-coding RNA is filed under the name Parus major (Great Tit). RNAcentral describes it as "lncRNA (ENSPMJG00000002225.1)". The record is from RNAcentral. Lineage: Eukaryota; Metazoa; Chordata; Aves; Passeriformes; Paridae.
AUUUGAGAAUUUUCAAAAUGUUUGUAAGACAUUUCAUGAAAUGAAGAAAAUGAAAAGACCUUUAGAUAAAAUUUACAUUUUUUUCUUGCCAGAAAUUUCCUUUUUGUAAGAGUACACAAGUAGUCAUUAAAAACUUGAGGCAAUGAUACAUUAUUGUGAUAAUGACCAAAUAGCCAAAGUUCAAAAUCUAAGUGCCUGAGAUGAUUAAAAAAUUUUAAAUGCCUCAUUUGAAUGGGAUAACAUGAAUUGUCUUUGUCUGGCACACAUGCAGAUCAUAAAAUAACUUCUAAAAAUAAAAAGAAAUGUAAAACUGUAUCCUUUUUGCCAGUUGUGGACAUUGAAAAGCUAGAGUCUAUUCAAAUUGUGCUGUGAAUAGACCAUUCUCCAGUGUAAGCAGAACAAGUUCUUCCCAGGAUUCAAAUAAAAUAUUUUUCAUCUUCACUGUGAAGUGCUUUUUCCUCUGCUUUUCUUUAUAGGAAUAAAAGGCCUUUCUGUUCUUUCAGCUGAGCGACCUCUGCCUUUUAGGGGGAAAUGAAGUUUCUGCUCCACUCACCCAUCACCACCACCCAGAAAUUCAGCAGCUUCUGUGCCUGAGCCAGGUGAACAAUUGGUACAGCUGGGGAUGGGAAGGAAGAAAAGAGAAGUAUGUGAGCACACAUUUGUACUUUUUCCAGCAAAGAAGGCAGGAAGAUUGAUCACCACAAGGAAAAGAUCUUAAAACACCUCUCAGAGGCUCACUGGCAGUUUCAGAGUAACAAGAGUAACAAGUGAUGAUGAUCUUUCUCCACACAAUGACAUCUUUAAGGGCCAGAGAGAAAAUUACAGUCAAAACCAUGUGCAUUCAGGCAAUUUAGACAAUUUUCUGUGUGCAGACAAAAUCCCUGGAUUUCUCCUCAGUGUUUAUCAAGGUAGGCUUCACAAAGUAUUUCAGAAAUCCCUUCCUUCCUUCCUUCCUUCCUUCCUUCCUUCCUUCCUUCCUUCCUUCCUUCCUUCCUUCCUUCCUUCCUUCCUUCCUUCCUUCCUUC